AGUGAACGCUGGCGGUAGGCCUAACACAUGCAAGUCGAACGGCAGCACCGUAAGAGCUUGCUCUUACGGGUGUCGAGUGGCGGACGGUUGAGGAAUACAUCGGAAUCUACUUUUUCGUGGGGGCUAACGUAGGGAAACUUACGCUAAUACCGCAUACGACCUACGGGUGAAAGCAGGGGAUCUUCGGACCUUGCGCGAUUGAAUGAGCCGAUGUCGGAUUAGCUAGUUGGCGGGGUAAAGGCCCACCAAGGCGACGAUCCGUAGCUGGUCUGAGAGGAUGAUCAGCCAGACUGGAACUGAGACAGGGUCCAGACUCCUACGGGAGGCAGCAGUGGGGAAUAUUGGACAAGGGGCGCAAGCCUGAUCCAGCCAUACCGCGUGGGUGAAGAAGGCCUUCGGGUUGUAAAGCCCUUUUGUUGGGAGAGAAAAGCAGCAGGUUAAUACCCCGCUGUUCUGACGGUACCCAAAGAAUAAGCACCGGCUAACUUCGUG
Molecule: ribosomal RNA, 492 nt
Filed under: uncultured bacterium
Lineage: Bacteria
Description: partial 16S ribosomal RNA
Rfam family: Bacterial small subunit ribosomal RNA
Source: RNAcentral